CGGGACGGGCCGGAGGGAUCACCGCGGAAAAAAAAAGCCAACUUUUACGCACGGAAUAUACUUUCGGGGGGGUCGGUUCUGUCUCUUUCAGCAGCAGGGCUACUCAGAGCUGAAAAGCAUGAAGCUCAGAUUCAGCUAAGCAACGGCCGGGGCCAGGAAUGCUGACCUUGGCGGGUGAACCGGGCCAACGACUGAGCGCAUCAACACUUGGUAGCAGCACAUGGCGGGACAGCUGUUGCAGGCCAAAGCGGGCAUCUGUGCACAGAGAGACAGAGAUAUGGACCGGGCGAGAGGAAGAGGUGUGGACAUCUGUAGCCAGGGAUUGACAAACGCUUGGAUGGAUGAAGAGAGGCGAGACGAGAAGGAAAAAGAGAGGAAGUUGGACUAGGGACAAGGAGCAGGAUUAUUUGAAUAGAUGACAGGGAGUGCUAGUGAGUGAGAGAAAGCG
Long non-coding RNA from Cyprinus carpio (common carp), 448 nucleotides. RefSeq lists it as uncharacterized. NCBI's taxonomy places the organism in Eukaryota, Metazoa, Chordata, Actinopteri, Cypriniformes, Cyprinidae. The record is from RefSeq and is a predicted model, not a curated record.